UCUUCCCUCUUUCCUCGUGCCUAAUACAUGCAAGUCGAGCGAACAGACGAGGAGCUUGCUCCUCUGACGUUAGCGGCGGACGGGUGAGUCACACGUGGAUAACCUACCUAUAAGACUGGGAUAACUUCGGGAAACCGGAGCUAAUACCGGAUAAUAUAUUGAACCGCAUGGUUCAAUAGUGAAAGACGGUUUUGCUGUCACUUAUAGCUGGAUCCGCGCCGCAUUAGCUAGUUGGUAAGGUAACGGCUUACCCAGGCAACGAUGCGUAGCCGAGCUGAGAGGGUGAUCGGCCACACUGGAACUGAGACACGGUCCAGACUCCUACGGGAGGCAGCAGUAGGGAAGCUUCCGCAAUGGGCGAAAGCCUGACGUAGCAACGCCGCGUGAGUGAUGAAGGUCUUCGGAUCGUAAAACUCUGUUAUUAGGGAAGAACAAAUGUGUAAGUAACUAUGCACGUCUUGACGGUACCUAAUCAGAAAGCCACGGCUAACUACGUG
Molecule: ribosomal RNA, 497 nt
Filed under: uncultured bacterium
Lineage: Bacteria
Description: partial 16S ribosomal RNA
Rfam family: Bacterial small subunit ribosomal RNA
Source: RNAcentral